AGAGCUGCUGCGGCUACGCACUGUUACAUCUCCGGAAGAUGUGCCUUGUUAUGCUCUCAGUACUUAUAAAAAAGGAAUUCUCUGUCCACAAUUUAUUCCUGUGCUUUAAAAGUUUGAAUUCCAGUGGAAAAGCAGCAAGAAGACCUGUUUUCCUCAGGAAGUAAUCCUCGCCAAGCAUGUCAGGUGUAGGAUACCAUAUGUCAGAAGUCACAACAGGAGGCCGGGCACGGUGGCUCACGCCUGUAAUCCCAGCACUUUGGGAGGUUGAGGUGGAUGGAUCACCUGAGGUCAGGAGUUCAAGACCAGCCUGGGAAACAUGAUGAAACCCUGUCUCUACUAAAAAUACAAAAAUUAGCCGGGCGCAGUGGCACAUGCCUGUAAAUCCCAGCUACUCAGGAGGCUGAGGCCGGAGAAUCGCUUGAGCCCGGGAGGUGGAGGUUGCAGUGAGCCAAGAUCAGGCCACUGUACUCCAGCCUGGGUGACAGAGUGAGACUCUGUCUAAAACAAACAAACAAACAAAAAAAGAAGUCACAACGGGUGAUGAAAAGC
This 549-nucleotide long non-coding RNA is filed under the name Homo sapiens (human). Its description in RNAcentral is "HSALNT0197548". The record is from RNAcentral. Lineage: Eukaryota; Metazoa; Chordata; Mammalia; Primates; Hominidae.